This 723-nucleotide ribosomal RNA is filed under the name uncultured Fusobacterium sp. Its description in RNAcentral is "bacterial SSU rRNA". It matches the Rfam family "Bacterial small subunit ribosomal RNA", at positions 28 to 776 of the family's 1533-position model. Lineage: Bacteria; Fusobacteriati; Fusobacteriota; Fusobacteriia; Fusobacteriales; Fusobacteriaceae. The record is from RNAcentral.
GAUGAACGCUGACAGAAUGCUUAACACAUGCAAGUCGACUCGAGUCUUCGGACUUGGGUGGCGCACGGGUGAGUAACGCGUAAAGAACUUGCCUCUUAGACUGGGACAACAUCUGGAAACGGAUGCUAAUACCGGAUAUUAUGGUUUCUUCGCAUGGAGGAAUCAUGAAAGCUAGAUGCGCUAAGAGAGAGCUUUGCGUCCCAUUAGCUGGUUGGUGAGGUAACGGCCCACCAAGGCAAUGAUGGGUAGCCGGCCUGAGAGGGUGAACGGCCACAAGGGGACUGAGACACGGCCCUUACUCCUACGGGAGGCAGCAGUGGGGAAUAUUGGACAAUGGACCACAAGUCUGAUCCAGCAAUUCUGUGUGCACGAUGACGUUUUUCGGAAUGUAAAGUGCUUUCAGUCGGGAAGAAGUCAGUGACGGUACCGACAGAAGAAGCGACGGCUAAAUACGUGCCAGCAGCCGCGGUAAUACGUAUGUCGCAAGCGUUAUCCGGAUUUAUUGGGCGUAAAGCGCGUCUAGGCGGCAAGGAAAGUCUGAUGUGAAAAUGCGGAGCUCAACUCCGUAUGGCGUUGGAAACUGCCUUACUAGAGUACUGGAGAGGUAGGCGGAACUACUAGUGUAGAGGUGAAAUUCGUAGAUAUUUGUAGGAAUGCCGAUGGGGAAGCCAGCCUACUGGACAGAUACUGACGCUAAGCGCGAAAGCGUGGGUAGCAAACAGG